RNAcentral lists this ribosomal RNA (232 nucleotides) under uncultured bacterium. RNAcentral's name for it is "partial 16S ribosomal RNA". It matches the Rfam family "Bacterial small subunit ribosomal RNA", at positions 337 to 566 of the family's 1533-position model. The record is from RNAcentral.
GCCUACGGGAGGCAGCAGUGAGGAAUAUUGGUCAAUGGCCGAGAGGCUGAACCAGCCAAGUCGCGUGAGGGAUGACGGCCCUACGGGUUGUAAACCUCUUUUGCCGGGGAGCAAGACCCGCCACGAGUGGCGGAGCGAGAGUACCUGAGGAAAAAGCAUCGGCUAAUUCCGGGCCAGCAGCGGCGGUAAUAGGGAGGAUGAGGGCGUUUUCCGGAUUUAUUGGGUUUAAAGG